AUCCUCCAAGGCUAAAUACUCCUGACUGACCGAUAGUGAACCAGUACCGUGAGGGAAAGGCGAAAAGAACCCCGGCGAGGGGAGUGAAAAAGAACCUGAAACCGUGUACGUACAAGCAGUGGGAGCCUCUUUUAUGGGGUGACUGCGUACCUUUUGUAUAAUGGGUCAGCGACUUAUAUUCUGUAGCAAGGUUAACCGUAUAGGGGAGCCGGAGGGAAACCGAGUCUUAACCGGGCGUUAAGUUGCAGGGUAUAGACCCGAAACCCGGUGAUCUAGCCAUGGGCAGGUUGAAGGUUGGGUAACACUAACUGGAGGACCGAACCGACUAAUGUUGAAAAA
Molecule: ribosomal RNA, 339 nt
Filed under: Salmonella enterica subsp. enterica
Lineage: Bacteria; Pseudomonadati; Pseudomonadota; Gammaproteobacteria; Enterobacterales; Enterobacteriaceae
Also listed under: 1 other name
Description: bacterial LSU rRNA
Rfam family: Bacterial large subunit ribosomal RNA
Source: RNAcentral